This 418-nucleotide long non-coding RNA is filed under the name Salvia miltiorrhiza (redroot sage). Its description in RNAcentral is "long non-coding RNA (SMIL_LNC013388)". The record is from RNAcentral. Lineage: Eukaryota; Viridiplantae; Streptophyta; Magnoliopsida; Lamiales; Lamiaceae.
UCAUACCUAAUAUCAUAAAACACAUAAAAACAUAGCAAAUAUUCCAAAACACUUAAAAACAUAACAAUUAUUCCAAAACACAAAAUUUCUUAACUACUAAUAAGUUUUUAAAUCUUAAAUUAAAGUCGAAAAUCUUAACUGCUGCUCUCAGCUUUGUUCUGCUAUCUUAACUACUAAUAAGUUAUGCUAUUAAAGUCGAAAGUCUUUGUUCUGCUAUCUUAACUACUAAUAAAUCUUUAAAAUCUUAACUGCUGCUAUAUGCUUUGUUCUGUUGUUGCCGUCUGUCUGCUCCUCAACUGAGAAUCUGAGAUGGCGAAGGGCAAGGCCAAGAGAUGGAGAGGACAGGAGAGGAGGAGAUGGAGAGCUUGGGUGGGUGCGUGCGUGCGUGAGCGUAGAGAAUCCUAGGUUUUUUUUUUAA